RNAcentral lists this ribosomal RNA (862 nucleotides) under uncultured soil archaeon. RNAcentral's name for it is "bacterial SSU rRNA". It matches the Rfam family "Archaeal small subunit ribosomal RNA", at positions 21 to 859 of the family's 1478-position model. The record is from RNAcentral.
ACCCGACUGCUAUCGGAUUGAGAUUUAGCCAUGCGAGUCGAACGUCCCCCUGUUGCGGGGGGCGUGGCGUACGGCUCAGUAACACGUAGUCAACCUGCCCUGGAGACAAGGACAACCCCGGGAAACUGGGAUUAAUCCUUGAUAGGUCAUCUCAUCUGGAAGGAGAGAUGGCUUAAAGGGGUACGCGGGCUUCUUCCGCGAAUUCGCUCCAGGAUGGGACUGCGUCCGAUCAGGCUGUUGGCGGGGUAAUGGCCCACCAAACCUGUAACCGGUACGGGCCUUGAGAGAGGUGGCCCGGAGAUGGACACUGAGAGAAGGGUCCAGGUCCUACGGGGCGCAGCAGGCGCGAAACCUUCGCAAUGCGCGAAAGCGUGACGAGGUUAAUCCGAGUGACUUCCGCUGAGGAGGUCUUUUGUCAGCUGUAAAUAGGCAGGCGAAUAAGGGGAGGGCAAGCCUGGUGUCAGCCGCCGCGGUAAUACCAGCUCCUCGAGUGGUCGGGGCGAUUAUUGGGCCUAAAGCAUCCGUAGCCGGUUCCGUAGGUCCUCUGUUAAAUCCAACCGCUUAACGGUUGACCUGCAGAGGAUACCGCGGGACUAGGAGGCGUGAGAGGCGGACGGUACUCCGCGUGUAGGGGUAAAAUCCUUUGAUCCGCGGAAGACCACCAGUGGCGAAGGCGGUCCGCCAGAACGCGCUCGACGGUGAGGGAUGAAAGCUGGGGGAGCGAACCGGAUUAGAUACCCGGGUAGUCCCAGCCGUAAACGAUGCUAGCUAGAUGAUUCAUUCGCAAGUCGCGAAUGAAGUGUCGCAGGGAAGCCGUUAAGCUAGCCGCCUGGGGGAGUACCGUCGCAAGACUGAAACUUAA